RNAcentral lists this ribosomal RNA (492 nucleotides) under uncultured bacterium. RNAcentral describes it as "partial 16S ribosomal RNA". It matches the Rfam family "Bacterial small subunit ribosomal RNA", at positions 29 to 507 of the family's 1533-position model. The record is from RNAcentral.
AGUGAACGCUGGCGGUAGGCCUAACACAUGCAAGUCGAACGGCAGCACAGUAAGAUCUUGCUCUUACGGGUGGCGAGUGGCGGACGUGAGAGGAGUACAUCGGAAUCUACUUUUUCGGGUGGGAUAACGUAGCGAAACUUACGCUAAUACCGCAUACCACCUACGGUUGAAAGCAGGGGAUCUUCGCACCUGGCGCGAUUGAAUUAGCCGAUGUUGGAUUAGAUAGUUGGGGGGGUAAAGGCCCACCAAGUCGACGAUCCGUAGCUGGUCGGAGAGGAUGGUCGGCGACCCUGGAACUGAGACACGGACCAGGCUACUGCGGGAGGGAGCAGUCGGGAAUAGUAGGCAAUGGGGGCAAGCAUGAUACAGCCAUACCGCGUGUGUGAAGAAGGCCUUCGGGUUGUAAAGCCCUUUUGUUGGGAAAGAAAAGCAGCCGGUUAAUACGCAGCUGUUGUGACGGUACCCAGAGAAUAAGCACCGGCUAACUUCGUG